CCUACGGGGGGCAGCAGUGGGGAAUAUUGCACAAUGGGGGAAACCCUGAUGCAGCCAUGCCGCGUGUGUGAAGAAGGCCUUCGGGUUGUAAAGCACUUUCAGCGGGGAGGAAGGCAGUGAGGUUAAUAACCUCAUCGAUUGACGUUACCCGCAGAAGAAGCACCGGCUAACUCCGUGCCAGCAGCCGCGGUAAUACGGAGGGUGCAAGCGUUAAUCGGAAUUACUGGGCGUAAAGCGCACGCAGGCGGUCUGUCAAGUCGGAUGUGAAAUCCCCGGGCUCUACCUGGGAACUGCAUUCGAAACUGGCAGGCUAGAGUCUUGUAGAGGGGGGUGGAAUUCCAGGUGUAGCGGUGAAAUGCGUAGAGAUCUGGAGGAAUACCGGUGGCGAAGGCGGCCCCCUGGACAAAGACUGACGCUCAGGUGCGAAAGCGUGGGGAGCAAACAGGAUUAGAUACCCCCGUAGUC
This 465-nucleotide ribosomal RNA is filed under the name uncultured bacterium. Its description in RNAcentral is "bacterial SSU rRNA". It matches the Rfam family "Bacterial small subunit ribosomal RNA", at positions 338 to 795 of the family's 1533-position model. The record is from RNAcentral.